RNAcentral lists this ribosomal RNA (2905 nucleotides) under Escherichia coli. Its description in RNAcentral is "23S ribosomal RNA". It matches the Rfam family "Bacterial large subunit ribosomal RNA". The record is from RNAcentral. Lineage: Bacteria; Pseudomonadati; Pseudomonadota; Gammaproteobacteria; Enterobacterales; Enterobacteriaceae.
GGUUAAGCGACUAAGCGUACACGGUGGAUGCCCUGGCAGUCAGAGGCGAUGAAGGACGUGCUAAUCUGCGAUAAGCGUCGGUAAGGUGAUAUGAACCGUUAUAACCGGCGAUUUCCGAAUGGGGAAACCCAGUGUGUUUCGACACACUAUCAUUAACUGAAUCCAUAGGUUAAUGAGGCGAACCGGGGGAACUGAAACAUCUAAGUACCCCGAGGAAAAGAAAUCAACCGAGAUUCCCCCAGUAGCGGCGAGCGAACGGGGAGCAGCCCAGAGCCUGAAUCAGUGUGUGUGUUAGUGGAAGCGUCUGGAAAGGCGCGCGAUACAGGGUGACAGCCCCGUACACAAAAAUGCACAUGCUGUGAGCUCGAUGAGUAGGGCGGGACACGUGGUAUCCUGUCUGAAUAUGGGGGGACCAUCCUCCAAGGCUAAAUACUCCUGACUGACCGAUAGUGAACCAGUACCGUGAGGGAAAGGCGAAAAGAACCCCGGCGAGGGGAGUGAAAAAGAACCUGAAACCGUGUACGUACAAGCAGUGGGAGCACGCUUAGGCGUGUGACUGCGUACCUUUUGUAUAAUGGGUCAGCGACUUAUAUUCUGUAGCAAGGUUAACCGAAUAGGGGAGCCGAAGGGAAACCGAGUCUUAACUGGGCGUUAAGUUGCAGGGUAUAGACCCGAAACCCGGUGAUCUAGCCAUGGGCAGGUUGAAGGUUGGGUAACACUAACUGGAGGACCGAACCGACUAAUGUUGAAAAAUUAGCGGAUGACUUGUGGCUGGGGGUGAAAGGCCAAUCAAACCGGGAGAUAGCUGGUUCUCCCCGAAAGCUAUUUAGGUAGCGCCUCGUGAAUUCAUCUCCGGGGGUAGAGCACUGUUUCGGCAAGGGGGUCAUCCCGACUUACCAACCCGAUGCAAACUGCGAAUACCGGAGAAUGUUAUCACGGGAGACACACGGCGGGUGCUAACGUCCGUCGUGAAGAGGGAAACAACCCAGACCGCCAGCUAAGGUCCCAAAGUCAUGGUUAAGUGGGAAACGAUGUGGGAAGGCCCAGACAGCCAGGAUGUUGGCUUAGAAGCAGCCAUCAUUUAAAGAAAGCGUAAUAGCUCACUGGUCGAGUCGGCCUGCGCGGAAGAUGUAACGGGGCUAAACCAUGCACCGAAGCUGCGGCAGCGACACUAUGUGUUGUUGGGUAGGGGAGCGUUCUGUAAGCCUGUGAAGGUGUACUGUGAGGUAUGCUGGAGGUAUCAGAAGUGCGAAUGCUGACAUAAGUAACGAUAAAGCGGGUGAAAAGCCCGCUCGCCGGAAGACCAAGGGUUCCUGUCCAACGUUAAUCGGGGCAGGGUGAGUCGACCCCUAAGGCGAGGCCGAAAGGCGUAGUCGAUGGGAAACAGGUUAAUAUUCCUGUACUUGGUGUUACUGCGAAGGGGGGACGGAGAAGGCUAUGUUGGCCGGGCGACGGUUGUCCCGGUUUAAGCGUGUAGGCUGGUUUUCCAGGCAAAUCCGGAAAAUCAAGGCUGAGGCGUGAUGACGAGGCACUACGGUGCUGAAGCAACAAAUGCCCUGCUUCCAGGAAAAGCCUCUAAGCAUCAGGUAACAUCAAAUCGUACCCCAAACCGACACAGGUGGUCAGGUAGAGAAUACCAAGGCGCUUGAGAGAACUCGGGUGAAGGAACUAGGCAAAAUGGUGCCGUAACUUCGGGAGAAGGCACGCUGAUAUGUAGGUGAAGUCCCUCGCGGAUGGAGCUGAAAUCAGUCGAAGAUACCAGCUGGCUGCAACUGUUUAUUAAAAACACAGCACUGUGCAAACACGAAAGUGGACGUAUACGGUGUGACGCCUGCCCGGUGCCGGAAGGUUAAUUGAUGGGGUUAGCCGCAAGGCGAAGCUCUUGAUCGAAGCCCCGGUAAACGGCGGCCGUAACUAUAACGGUCCUAAGGUAGCGAAAUUCCUUGUCGGGUAAGUUCCGACCUGCACGAAUGGCGUAAUGAUGGCCAGGCUGUCUCCACCCGAGACUCAGUGAAAUUGAACUCGCUGUGAAGAUGCAGUGUACCCGCGGCAAGACGGAAAGACCCCGUGAACCUUUACUAUAGCUUGACACUGAACAUUGAGCCUUGAUGUGUAGGAUAGGUGGGAGGCUUUGAAGUGUGGACGCCAGUCUGCAUGGAGCCGACCUUGAAAUACCACCCUUUAAUGUUUGAUGUUCUAACGUGGACCCGUAAUCCGGGUUGCGGACAGUGUCUGGUGGGUAGUUUGACUGGGGCGGUCUCCUCCUAAAGAGUAACGGAGGAGCACGAAGGUUGGCUAAUCCUGGUCGGACAUCAGGAGGUUAGUGCAAUGGCAUAAGCCAGCUUGACUGCGAGCGUGACGGCGCGAGCAGGUGCGAAAGCAGGUCAUAGUGAUCCGGUGGUUCUGAAUGGAAGGGCCAUCGCUCAACGGAUAAAAGGUACUCCGGGGAUAACAGGCUGAUACCGCCCAAGAGUUCAUAUCGACGGCGGUGUUUGGCACCUCGAUGUCGGCUCAUCACAUCCUGGGGCUGAAGUAGGUCCCAAGGGUAUGGCUGUUCGCCAUUUAAAGUGGUACGCGAGCUGGGUUUAGAACGUCGUGAGACAGUUCGGUCCCUAUCUGCCGUGGGCGCUGGAGAACUGAGGGGGGCUGCUCCUAGUACGAGAGGACCGGAGUGGACGCAUCACUGGUGUUCGGGUUGUCAUGCCAAUGGCACUGCCCGGUAGCUAAAUGCGGAAGAGAUAAGUGCUGAAAGCAUCUAAGCACGAAACUUGCCCCGAGAUGAGUUCUCCCUGACUCCUUGAGAGUCCUGAAGGAACGUUGAAGACGACGACGUUGAUAGGCCGGGUGUGUAAGCGCAGCGAUGCGUUGAGCUAACCGGUACUAAUGAACCGUGAGGCUUAACCUU